AGAAAAUGAAAGAGUGAAGAUUAUAAUUAUAUAUCCACAACUGAUCAAGACCAAAGCUGUAUCCCAUUAAUAAUGCCAGGCAACCCAAGGAUUCACCUGGCCAUUCUAGAUGCUGUCCUUUCCCAUCUCACUUCAAACACAAAUAAUCCAGGCCUUCUACUAGCCAGUCCCACCUCCAGAGCAGAGAGCACAGACGUUCU
Long non-coding RNA from Oncorhynchus keta (chum salmon), 200 nucleotides. RefSeq lists it as uncharacterized. The record is from RefSeq and is a predicted model, not a curated record. The transcript has 3 exons. NCBI's taxonomy places the organism in Eukaryota, Metazoa, Chordata, Actinopteri, Salmoniformes, Salmonidae.